AUUUGAAGAUGGAGGAAGGAACGAAGAUCCAAGAUAUAAAGGUAACCUCUAGAAGCUGGAGAGGAAGGAAAUAGAUUUUCCCAUAGAGCCUCCAAAGGAAUGCAACUGCACCAGCACCUUGAUUUCAUCUAACCUCCAAAAUGAGCAUGCAUUCCGAUAUUUUCCUGGCCGAUCACUAUAGUAACUGGGAGAGAGUCCGCAUCCUGAAGGAGCUCAGAGGACAUGAAAGCAGAAGCCUGAGAAGCAAGAGCCUACACAGAAGAAAGGAAGAUCUGAGAAACAUUUGAAAUUAAAAUAGUGUCCUUCAAUCAACUAUGCGUGAGGCCAUACCAAUUCUAUUGACCAUGAAUAUGUGAAGAUAAAUUUGACAAAGCCAUUGACAAAUGUGCAGAAGUGAAGGCUUAUAGCAGAAAGCACAGUGGAGUUAUUCAUCACCAUCACCAUGGGGACCAAAAUAUUGGGGUUCUGUUUUACCUUGCUGAUUCAUUGCUGUGGAUUCUUUUAUAUUUUUAUUUUUCCC
This is a long non-coding RNA of Eubalaena glacialis (North Atlantic right whale), 520 nucleotides long. RefSeq lists it as uncharacterized. Lineage: Eukaryota; Metazoa; Chordata; Mammalia; Artiodactyla; Balaenidae. The transcript is spliced from 4 exons. The record is from RefSeq and is a predicted model, not a curated record.